GAGGGGAGAAGACUAACAGGAUUCCCCUAGUAACUGCGAGUGAAGCGGGAAAAGCUCAAAUUUAAAAUCUGGCGGUCUUUGGUCGUCCGAGUUGUAGUCUGGAGAAGUGCUUUCCGCGCUGGACCGUGUAUAAGUCUCUUGGAACAGAGCGUCAUAGAGGGUGAGAAUCCCGUCUUUGACACGGACUACCAGUGCUUUGUGAUGCGCUCUCAAAGAGUCGAGUUGUUUGGGAAUGCAGCUCAAAAUGGGUGGUGAAUUCCAUCUAAAGCUAAAUAUUGGCGAGAGACCGAUAGCGAACAAGUACCGUGAGGGAAAGAUGAAAAGCACUUUGGAAAGAGAGUUAAACAGUACGUGAAAUUGCUGAAAGGGAAACGCUUGAAGUCAGUCGCGUUGUCUGGGACUCAGCCUUGCUUUUGCUUGGUGCACUUUCCGGAUGACGGGCCAGCAUCGAUUUUGACCGUCGGAAAAGGGCUAGGGUAAUGUGGCACCUCCGGGUGUGUUAUAGACUUUAGUCGCAUACGGCGGUCGGGAUCGAGGAACGCAGCGCGCCGUAAGGCAGGGGUUCGCCCACUUUCGCGCUUAGGAUGCUGGCGUAAUGGCUUUAAACGACCCGUCUUGAAACACGGACCAAGGAGUCUAACAUACCUGCGAGUGUUUGGGUGGAAAACCCGAGCGCGUAAUGAAAGUGAAAGUUGAGACCUCUGUCGUGGAGGGCAUCGACGCCCGGACCUGACGUUCUCUGACGGAUCCGCGGUAGAGCAUGUAUGUUGGGACCCGAAAGAUGGUGAACUAUGCCUGAAUAGGGUGAAGCCAGAGGAAACUCUGGUGGAGGCUCGUAGCGAUUCUGACGUGCAAAUCGAUCGUCAAAUUUGGGUAUAGGGGCGAAAGACUAAUCGAACCAUCAAU
Molecule: ribosomal RNA, 906 nt
Filed under: Sanguinoderma rugosum
Lineage: Eukaryota; Fungi; Basidiomycota; Agaricomycetes; Polyporales; Polyporaceae
Description: partial large subunit ribosomal RNA
Rfam family: Eukaryotic large subunit ribosomal RNA
Source: RNAcentral